Molecule: long non-coding RNA, 2528 nt
Filed under: Sus scrofa (pig)
Lineage: Eukaryota; Metazoa; Chordata; Mammalia; Artiodactyla; Suidae
Description: lncRNA (ENSSSCG00055006690.1)
Source: RNAcentral
CGGCAUGUGAAGGUUCCCAGGCUGGGAGUCAAAUUGGAGCUACAGCUGCCAGCCUACAACACAGCCACAGCAAUGCAGGAUCUAAGCUGCAUCUGCAACCUACACCACAGCUCAUGGCGGUGCCAGUUUUAACCCACUGAGCGAUGCCAGGGAUUGAACCCACAACCUCAUGGUUCCUAGUUGGAUUUGUUUGCGCUGCGCCACGAUGGGAACUCCCAGGUUUUGAUUUUUUUAAAAAAGCACAUAAAACCUAAAGCAACAUCCAUUCAAUACUGGUCCAGGGGCUCACUGGAAGGGACUCAACAGAAACACUUCUGAUCUGGCUCCCAGUCCUCAUGGCUCUUUUGCUGUGUACAUUCAAUGACAACAAAUUCAUCACCUUUUCUCCUUUCAAAUGUGAAUAGUUUACAUCUUCUGUUUUCAGAACCUACAUGGUGGGCGGGGUGGGGGGGGGAAUAAAACAAUAAGAUAUUUCAAAGAAAAAUUCAACAAACUCUAUUAAAAGGAAAACUUUUCACACUUUGAACUCAGCAUUUUCAUUCUUACAAAACACUCCCUCAAUGCAAAGAUGUGUGUUCUAGAAUGUCCUACUGAAGAAUUGGCCCAUAAAUAGGGGCAUGGUUAAAUAAAUUAAGUAAUGGACACAAAAUGGAAUACUACAAGGCCUUUAAAAACAGUGAAGCAGAGUUCCCGUCGUGGCGCAGUGGUUAACGAAUCCGACUAGGAACCAUGAGGUUGCGGGUUCGGUCCCUGCCCUUGCUCAGUGGGUUAAUGAUCCGGCAUUGCCGUGAGUUGUGGUGUAGGUUGCAGACGCGGCUCAGAUCCCGCGUUGCUGUGGUUCUGGCGUAGGCCAGUGGCUACAGCUCCGAUUCGACCCCUAGCCUGGGAACCUCCAUAUGCCGCAGGAGCUCAUGGCCCCUCAUGACUCCAUUAACCCUUAUUCUGAAGCAUUUGAUGUACUCACCACAGUGCGUUCAUAUAUAUGUUACCAUUUGCAUUAGCAUGAUUCUAUUCUUGUUCAUCUUCAUCUUGAUGAUGAGCUCCUUGAACGACUUGACGCUUUGUAUGGAACUUCCCAUAAUCCUUCAGGGCCUAUUGCCAGAUCUGCUCGGUAGAUCUUGGGACUGAAGCCUUAAUGUAAUAUUUGCAUUUGUUGACUGCUUAAUAUUCAUCAUCAAUGAUCCUAAUAAAUCAAUGUUUUUCCUAUAUAGCCCUAUAUGUUUUCUUUACUGAAUUAUGAAAAUGUCCCUCAUUUGAGUAGCUUCUUAAUUAAUAGAUAAUUCCAGUAAAUUCAAGUCUUCUCUUGAUUUUUUUCUUCUUGGUAUAGGGGAGAUGUGUCAUAUAGUGUCAUUAGAAGGUUUCCAAAUGGAAAAACUUGACAACCAUUGUGUUUAAAAAAAAAAAAAAAGACAAUGGCAGAGAAUUUCUCUAUUUCUCUACUUCAAUGCUAACAAGACUAAAUGCUAUUUAUAUCAUAAAUGACCAAGGAAACAGGACUAGACUGCCAGCUGGUUGAUAACAUGUGGUUGAGAAAAGAGCUAUAAGGUAAUUGGUUAUCAUAUUGAUUCUAGGUUAUCUUCCUAGUGUAGUCUAAGUGGAGAGACAAACAUACCCUUACCUAAAUGAAUGAAUCAAAUAUAAUUUUCAUUUAGCUCCACAAAUAUCUGAAUAUGUACCUUUAACAUCUCAUUGGCAGGAGAAACCACAUGGUCUACAUCUGCAGUCAGUUUUUCUUUAGAGUGUGUAUUCUAUAUACAAUCAAUGACUAAUGUGAAAAGAAAAUUAAGAAAAUAAUCUCAUUUACUAUGGCAUCCAAAUAGAUAAAUUGCAUAGGAAUAAACUUAACCAAGGAGGUGAAAGUCUGGUACAUUGAAAACUAUAAAGUAUCGCUAAAAGAAAUCAAAGAAGAUACAAAUAAAUGGAGACAUCCUGUGCUUAGGUUUUCAAGACUUAAUAUUGGCAAAAUGUCUCUACUAACUAAAGCAAUGUACAAAUUCAAUGGAAUCCAUACCUAAAUCUGAAUAACAUUUUUUUUUGCAGAAGUAAAAAAAAUUCCAAAAUUCAUAUGUAACUUCGAGGCAUCCCAAAUAGCCAAAUUUUUUUUCAUCCUUUUCCAUCUCUUUUUGUGCUUUUUUAUUUUAUUUUAUUUUAUUUUUGUCUUUUUGCCAUUUCUUGGGCCACUCCUGCAGCACAUGGAGGUUCCCAGGCUAAGGGUCAAAUCGGAGCUGUAGCUGCCAGCCUACGCCAGAGCCACAGCAACGUGGGAUCCGAGCCAUGUCUGCAACCUACACCACAACUCACGGCAAUGCUGGAUCGUUAACCCACUGAGCAAGUGCAGGGAUCGAACCUGCAACCUCAUGGUUCCUAGUCGGAUUCAUUAACCACUGCGCCACGACGGGGAACUCCGCAAAUUAAUCUUGAAAAAGAACAAAGUUGGAGGCCUCACAUUCCUGAUUCCAAAACCUACUACAAGGAGUUCCCAUUGUGGCUCAGCAGGUUAAGAACCUAACAUAGUGUCUGUGAAGAUG